RNAcentral lists this ribosomal RNA (478 nucleotides) under uncultured bacterium. RNAcentral describes it as "partial 16S ribosomal RNA". It matches the Rfam family "Bacterial small subunit ribosomal RNA", at positions 28 to 507 of the family's 1533-position model. The record is from RNAcentral.
GAUGAACGCUGGCGGCGUGCUUAACACAUGCAAGUCGAACGGGAAUUAUUUUAUUGAAACAUCGGUCGAUUUAAUUUAAUUCUAGUGGCGGACGGGUGAGUAACGCGUGGGUAACCUGCCUUAUACAGGGGGAUAACAGUCAGAAAUGGCUGCUAAUACCGCAUAAGCGCACAGAGCUGCAUGGCUCAGUGUGAAAAACUCCGGUGGUAUAAGAUGGACCCGCGUUGGAUUAGCUUGUUGGCAGGGUAACGGCCUACCAAGGCGACGAUCCAUAGCCGGCCUGAGAGGGUGAACGGCCACAUUGGGACUGAGACACGGCCCAGACUCCUACGGGAGGCAGCAGUGGGGAAUAUUGCACAAUGGGGGAAACCCUGAUGCAGCGACGCCGCGUGAAGGAAGAAGUAUCUCGGUAUGUAAACUUCUAUCAGCAGGGAAGAUAGUGACGGUACCUGACUAAGAAGCCCCGGCUAACUACGUG